CACAAUAAAAUAUGAAGGCUGUACGCGGCUGUGCUCUCGGGCCAGUUUUGCGGAGGCUGAAUUAUUUAUUACCCUUGUCUUUUGCGCACUUGUUGUUUCCUGGGCGGGUUCGCCCGCCACCAGGACCACAUCAUAAACCUCUUUUAUGCAGUUGUAAUCAGCGUCAGUAUAACAAAUGUAAAUCAUUUA
RNAcentral lists this unclassified non-coding RNA (189 nucleotides) under soil metagenome. RNAcentral describes it as "partial internal transcribed spacer 1". The record is from RNAcentral.